GUCAGUUUGGCCGAGUGGUUAAGGCGGUGCCCUGCUAAGGCAUUGCACUUUGUGCGCGCAGGUUCGAAUCCUGCAGCUGACG
This 82-nucleotide transfer RNA is filed under the name Homolaphlyctis polyrhiza JEL 142. Its description in RNAcentral is "tRNA-Ser (GCT) (tRNA-Ser-GCT-1-1, tRNA-Ser-GCT-1-2)". It matches the Rfam family "tRNA". From Rfam's summary of the family: Transfer RNA (tRNA) molecules are approximately 80 nucleotides in length. The record is from RNAcentral. Lineage: Eukaryota; Fungi; Chytridiomycota; Chytridiomycetes; Rhizophydiales.